UACGUAGGUGGCAAGCGUUGUCCGGAUUUAUUGGGUUUAAAGGGCGCGUAGGCGGUCAGCACAAGUCAGUUGUGAAAUCCCCGGGCUUAACUCGGAAAGGUCAACUGAUACUGUGCGACUAGAGUGCGGAAGGGGCAACUGGAAUUCUCGGUGUAGCGGUGAAAUGCGUAGAUAUCGAGAGGAACACCUGCGGCGAAGGCGGGUUGCUGGGCCGACACUGACGCUGAUGCGCGAAAGCCAGGGGAGCGAACGGG
Molecule: ribosomal RNA, 254 nt
Filed under: uncultured bacterium
Lineage: Bacteria
Description: partial 16S ribosomal RNA
Rfam family: Bacterial small subunit ribosomal RNA
Source: RNAcentral